GCUGGGCGUGGUGGCGCAUGCCUGUAGUCCCAUCUACUUGGGAGGCUGAGGCAGGAGAAUCACUUGAGCCCGGGAGGCAGAGGUUGCAGUGAGCCAAGAUCACACCACUGCACUCCAGCCUGGGCAACAGAGUGAGACUCUGUCUCAG
Molecule: signal recognition particle RNA, 148 nt
Filed under: Gorilla gorilla gorilla (western lowland gorilla)
Lineage: Eukaryota; Metazoa; Chordata; Mammalia; Primates; Hominidae
Description: Metazoan signal recognition particle RNA
Rfam family: Metazoan signal recognition particle RNA
About the family: The signal recognition particle (SRP) is a universally conserved ribonucleoprotein. It is involved in the co-translational targeting of proteins to membranes.
Source: Rfam by way of RNAcentral